CUCAUUAAAUGCAAAAAUAAUCAUUUUAAUAACCUUCAUAAAUACAGCUUCACGACUAGAAAGAAUUCUUCAAGGCCGUGAAGCAUCAAUGUGAAAAAUAGAUUUGAAAAGCUGGAAACCCUCGUGGCCGUGAACAAUUCUUCAUGAUUGGGAAGAUCCUCUUUCAUAGCUCGAAAUAUUUGUUCACGGCUAGAAACUUUGGGUUUCACUGGAGAAUUUGGCCGUGAACUCUACUGUGGUGUUUUGAAGUUUUGGAGAGUUGUCAUUUUUUACGGAUGUGAACUUUUUCUUCACGACUGGAAAGAUUUGUUCACGACCGUAAAUUUCCAUCUUUAUGGCUAAAAAUGUUGGCCAUGACUUCUUCUGUGGUUUCUUCAAGUUUUGAAAGGAAGACAUUUUUCACGGACAUGAAUAUUUCUUCAGGACUGUGAAUCCUCAUUUCCAUGUUUGGAAAGAAUGCCAUGAAAGUUACUGCCCUUUUUGCUGUUUGAGGCGAGAAUUCUUCAUAGCUGAGAAACUGAUGUUUCACGGCCGUGAAUAAAGGUUCACGGGCAUGAAUAUUUCUUCACGGCCGUGAAUCCUCGUUUCUACGUUUGGGAAGGAUGUCGUGAACGCCAUUACCCUUUUUGUUGUUUGAGGCGAGAAUUCUUCAUAGCUGGAAAACUGAUGUUUUAUAGCCGUGAAUAAAAAUUCACAGGUAUGAAUGUUUUAGAAGAACCAACUUUUCUUCCUUGCAUAUAAACACUCAAACAUAAAAAGCAUUCUUAAUUAUUUAUAACCAUCAAAAUAUGAUUAAUAACUAUCAAGGUUCAAUAUAAAGUAUAUUAAAUUUUUUUUACAAAUCUAUUAUGCGAUAAAUAAAAUAUAUGAUAUCACUAUAAUUAUUCAAAUUAAUUAGCCACAAAAUUAGUUGUUUUUUUAACAAUUAAAAUGAGAUAUUCACUCUUUAAAUAAAGUACAAGAGUCCAUCAACCUCAAAAGCAAAAUAAAUCAAAUAUGACAAAAAAGUCUAGAAUAAAUAAAAUUUCAAAACCCAAUAUACUCCACAAAUCCUAACAAGAAACGGAAGAAAUGCAGCCAUCAGAGCCACAACCGCCACCAUUGCUGCAGAGCCAUUACCUCAUAACUAAACUCUUAACCUUCUGUUGAGCUUGUAGAGAUGGAACUUCAAUUGCAAGGCAUGCUACUUCUUCGAUGAAACUCAACCCAAAAUCAAAAGAUAAAUACAAGAGUUUAAAAGAGCUAAUAAGGAGGAGAGAAAUCCCUAUCAUCUAGUCUUUCAUAGAGAUAAGCACCCUCAAGCUACCAAAAUAUUGAACUGAGCCCUUGAAGGAUAUGAACACUAAGCCAAAAGGAUAUCAAAGAAAUGGACUAAUGCAUUUUAAGCCACCGUCAAAAUUUUCAAUUGAUAUUAAAGAAAAGGUGGCUAAGAAACACAGAAAUAAGAAUAAAUCCAUAGAUUUAUCUUGUAAGAAAAGGGACAAAGUCCAGAUCUAACCUCUAAAGCUCCACCAUGGGAGCAACAGAUUUUCUCCACCAAAGGAACUCGAAGAAUUUAUUGAUAGAGAUACAUUAACAAUGAAAAUCACAAGAAGAAAAUAUAAUAGAAACUGAAGUGGAAAAGGGUGGCCAAAAUCUACCCCUCAAAACCACUAGUUAAGGUUACUACCUUUAUAAUUGUAUCUUGUCUUGUGGAUAAUGGUAAUGCAGCCCAGCUCACCCAUUAAAUCAGUUAUUUAUUACAUAUGCU
This 1750-nucleotide long non-coding RNA is filed under the name Ricinus communis (castor bean). RNAcentral describes it as "long non-coding RNA (RCOM_LNC002944)". The record is from RNAcentral. Lineage: Eukaryota; Viridiplantae; Streptophyta; Magnoliopsida; Malpighiales; Euphorbiaceae.